ACAUAGAAAAGCUUGCUUUUCUGAUGACGACCGGCGCACGGGUGAGUAACGCGUAUACAACCUACCUUUUAGCGGGGAAUAGCCCAGGGAAACUUGGAUUAAUGUCCCAUAGUAUGGAGGUCUCUCCUGAGAUCAUCAUUAAACAUUUAUGGCUAUUAGAUGGGUAUGCGUCCUAUUAGUUAGUUGGUAAGGUAACGGCUUACCAAGGCAGCGAUAGGUAGGGGUCCUGAGAGGGAGAUCCCCCACACUGGUACUGAGACACGGACCAGACUCCUACGGGAGGCAGCAGUGAGGAAUAUUGGACAAUGGGCGAAAGCCUGAUCCAGCCAUGCCGCGUGUGUGAAGAAGGUCUUCGGAUUGUAAAGCACUUUAAGUUGGGAGGAAGGGUUGUAGAUUAAUACUCUGCAAUUUUGACGUUACCGACAGAAUAAGCACCGGCUGACUCUGUGCCAGCAGCCGCGGUAAU
Molecule: ribosomal RNA, 466 nt
Filed under: uncultured bacterium
Lineage: Bacteria
Description: bacterial SSU rRNA
Rfam family: Bacterial small subunit ribosomal RNA
Source: RNAcentral